RNAcentral lists this ribosomal RNA (478 nucleotides) under uncultured amoeba. Its description in RNAcentral is "SSU rRNA". It matches the Rfam family "Eukaryotic small subunit ribosomal RNA", at positions 709 to 1186 of the family's 1831-position model. The record is from RNAcentral.
UAUGUACCUARCGGUCCUCAUCCGCGAGGGUGGGGAAUCAACCGCUAGGAUCGUUUACUUUGAGGAAAUUAGAGUGUUCAAAGCAGGCGUAACUCGCCUCCGAAUACGUUAGCAUGGGAUAAUGGAAUACGACUUCGGUCUUGUUUCGUUGGUUUCGCUUGGCUGAAGUAAUGAUUGAUAGGGACAGUUGGGGGCAUUAGUAUUUAGUUGUCAGAGGUGAAAUUCUAGGAUUUACUAAAGACUGACCAAUGCGAAAGCAUUUGCCAAGGAUGUUUUCAUUAAUCAAGAACGAAAGUAGGGGGAUCGAAGACGAUCAGAUACCGUCGUAGUCUCUACCGUAAACUAUGCCGACCAGGGAUCCGGAGAGUUUGCAUGGAUGACUCCCCGGGCACCUUGUGAGAAAUCAUAAGUGUUUGGGUUUUGGGGGGAGUAUGGUCGCAAGGCUGAAACUAAAGGAAUGACGAAGCCACCACAUUUC